RNAcentral lists this transfer RNA (73 nucleotides) under Alligator mississippiensis (American alligator). It matches the Rfam family "tRNA". Rfam says of the family: Transfer RNA (tRNA) molecules are approximately 80 nucleotides in length. Their secondary structure includes four short double-helical elements and three loops (D, anti-codon, and T loops). The record is from Rfam by way of RNAcentral. Lineage: Eukaryota; Metazoa; Chordata; Crocodylia; Alligatoridae.
GCUGGUGUUACUCACCGGGAAGAGUGUUGGCUUCUAAAUUCAAAUGCUGUUGGUUCAAUCCCUGUCUCUAGCA